GACUGAAUAAUAUGAGACUAGCAGAAAUUUGGUAGAAAGUGAACGAUAUCAGUUCUAACCUCAUUUGUCUUUCAGCUUCCCGGACGAUGAGGCAGGCAAUCUAAUGGCAGAUUAAGAGUGAAACUCAGUGAAAUCAUCCGGAAGCAAACGGAAUGGAUGGUCAGGAAGAUUUCCAAUGUGGCCAGGAAUGAGUCGAGUCUUGGGAUUCGAGGAACUGUUCUUGCUCCAAGUCCAGCGAAAGACGCUCUCAAACUGUAU
Phlebotomus argentipes is the source of this 258-nucleotide long non-coding RNA. RefSeq lists it as uncharacterized. The record is from RefSeq and is a predicted model, not a curated record. The transcript has 3 exons. NCBI's taxonomy places the organism in Eukaryota, Metazoa, Arthropoda, Insecta, Diptera, Psychodidae.